This 500-nucleotide non-coding RNA is filed under the name uncultured Glomus. RNAcentral's name for it is "SSU rRNA". It matches the Rfam family "Eukaryotic small subunit ribosomal RNA", at positions 591 to 1092 of the family's 1831-position model. Lineage: Eukaryota; Fungi; Glomeromycota; Glomeromycetes; Glomerales; Glomeraceae. The record is from RNAcentral. RNAcentral also lists the same sequence under 1 other name.
CCAAUAGCGUAUAUUAAAGUUGUUGCAGUUAAAAAGCUCGUAGUUGAAUUUCGGGGUUAGUAGGUUGGUCAUGCCUCUGGUAUGUACUGGUCUCACUGAUUCCUCCUUCCUGAUGAAUCUUAAUGCCAUUAAUUUGGUGUUUUGGGGAAUUUGGACUGUUACUUUGAAAAAAUUAGAGUGUUUAAAGCAAGCUAACGCUUGAAUACAUUAGCAUGGAAUAAUGAAAUAGGACGUUCGAUCCUAUUUUGUUGGUUUCUAGGAUUGACGUAAUGAUUAAUAGGGAUAGUUGGGGGCAUUAGUAUUCAAUUGUCAGAGGUGAAAUUCUUGGAUUUAUUGAAGACUAACUACUGCGAAAGCAUUUGCCAAGGAUGUUUUCAUUAAUCAAGAACGAAAGUUAGGGGAUCGAAGACGAUCAGAUACCGUCGUAGUCUUAACCAUAAACUAUGCCGACUAGGGAUCGGAUGAUGUUAAUUUUUUAAUGACUCAUUCGGCGCCUUACG